Caenorhabditis elegans is the source of this 87-nucleotide non-coding RNA. The record is from Ensembl. NCBI's taxonomy places the organism in Eukaryota, Metazoa, Nematoda, Chromadorea, Rhabditida, Rhabditidae.
CACAGUGGCAAAAAACCACAUUUGCUCCGUGGCCGCGUGACAAAAAUUGAUGGCUGAGUUUUCAUCUCUCGCGGCCACGUAGGAUAC